CCUACGGGUGGCAGCAGUGGGGAAUAUUGGGCAAUGGAGGAAACUCUGACCCAGCAACGCCGCGUGUAGGAUGAAGGUUUUCGGAUUGUACACUACUGUCGCGAGGGAUGAAGAGUGACGGUAUAUUGUAUGAAAGCCUCGGCAAACUACGUGCCAGCAGCCGCGGUAAUACGUAGGGGGCGAGCGUUGUCCGGAAUGACUGGGCGUAAAGGGAAUGGAGGCGGCUUAUUAAGUGAGAUGUGAAAGCCCGGGGCUCAACCGCGGAAAUGAACAUAAAACUGGUAUGCUGGAGUGCAGGAGAGGUAGGUAGAAUGCCCGGUGUAGCGGUGGAAUGCGUAGAUAUCGGGAGGAACACCAGAGGCGAAGGCGACUUACUGGACUGUAACUGACGCUGAGGCGCGAAAGCGUGGGGAGCAAACAGGAUUAGAUACCCGAGUAGUC
Molecule: ribosomal RNA, 441 nt
Filed under: uncultured bacterium
Lineage: Bacteria
Description: partial 16S ribosomal RNA
Rfam family: Bacterial small subunit ribosomal RNA
Source: RNAcentral